AACGAACGCUGGCGGCGUGCCUAACACAUGCAAGUCUAACGAGAAAGUCCCCGCAAGGGGAUCGGUAAAGUGGCGAACGGGUGAGUAAUACAUGGGUAACCUGCCUUCGAGAUUGGGAUAACCCUCCGAAAGGAGGGCUAAUACCGGAUGAGAAAGGGGGGGCGAAAGUCAUUCUCUUUUAAAGAUGGCCUCUGCUUGCAAGCUAUCGCUUGAAGAUGGGCCCAUGUCCCAUUAGCUAGNGGUAGGGUAACGGCCUACCAAGGCGAUGAUGGGUAGCUGGUCUGAGAGGACGGCCAGCCACACUGGCAC
This 309-nucleotide ribosomal RNA is filed under the name uncultured bacterium. RNAcentral describes it as "bacterial SSU rRNA". It matches the Rfam family "Bacterial small subunit ribosomal RNA", at positions 29 to 319 of the family's 1533-position model. The record is from RNAcentral.